MicroRNA precursor from Xenopus tropicalis (tropical clawed frog), 68 nucleotides. Ensembl annotates it as xtr-mir-33a. Its record names the gene xtr-mir-33a. The record is from Ensembl. Lineage: Eukaryota; Metazoa; Chordata; Amphibia; Anura; Pipidae.
CUGUGGUGCAUUGUAGUUGCAUUGCAUGUGAUAUCAGCGGUGUGCAAUGUGCCUGCAGUGCAACACAG